GUCUCCUGAUGCUGUGAAAACAAGCAAAAGAAAUCUACACUUUUCUACUGCUCCCUCAUGAAAGACUGGUCUUUGGGCAAGUUUACAACCUAUUGGAGAUCGUCACUGCAAGGGCGAACAGACCAUUCAGAACUCAACUUUCUGAGCAAUGACUCGUGAACAGGUUGAACUGGAAUAAGAACAUUCGCCAAGUACAAGGUACAACAUAAGAAAAAAUCUCUGCAAAUACUUGUGAGAGAACUGCAAUUACACUGACUAGAAGAUUUAUCUCUCACCUGCCUAUAACAAUAUUCAGAUGGGAUUUUCAUAAUAUACCAACACAAUCAACAUCUGAGUUACAGUUAUUGACAUAGCAUGUCUGUGAUUUCAUGUACUGAAAAGUAUUGUAUGUACUAAGCCCCGUUCACACCAAGAACGAUAACUAUAAAGAUAACGAUAUUAGCGUCCACACCAGCGAACGAUAUCGUCUGUUUAUUCUAAGCGCACAUGCGUCUGCCGCUUUAAAUUCUUGAGCUCGUUACAGCAGGAUGGAU
This 533-nucleotide long non-coding RNA is filed under the name Sinocyclocheilus grahami. RNAcentral describes it as "lncRNA (ENSSGRG00000031234.1)". Lineage: Eukaryota; Metazoa; Chordata; Actinopteri; Cypriniformes; Cyprinidae. The record is from RNAcentral.